UGGAAGAGUGGCAGAGCGGCCGAAUGCACCUGUCUUGAAAACAGAUGACGGGCAACCGUCCGGGGGUUCGAAUCCCUCCUCUUCCGU
This 87-nucleotide transfer RNA is filed under the name Chlamydiota bacterium. RNAcentral describes it as "Chlamydiae bacterium tRNA-Ser". It matches the Rfam family "tRNA". Rfam says of the family: Transfer RNA (tRNA) molecules are approximately 80 nucleotides in length. Their secondary structure includes four short double-helical elements and three loops (D, anti-codon, and T loops). The record is from RNAcentral. Lineage: Bacteria; Pseudomonadati; Chlamydiota.